This 523-nucleotide ribosomal RNA is filed under the name uncultured bacterium. RNAcentral's name for it is "bacterial SSU rRNA". It matches the Rfam family "Bacterial small subunit ribosomal RNA", at positions 777 to 1297 of the family's 1533-position model. The record is from RNAcentral.
AAUAGAUACCCGGUAGUCCAUGCCGUAAACGUUGGGAACUAGAUGUGGGGACCAUUCCACGGUCUCCGUGUCGCAGCUAACGCAUUAAGUUCCCCGCCUGGGGAGUACGGCCGCAAGGCUAAAACUCAAAGGAAUUGACGGGGGCCCGCGACAAGCGGCGGAGCAUGCGGAUUAAUUCGAUGCAACGCGAAGAACCUUACCAAGGCUUGACAUAUACGAGAACGCUGCAGAAAUGUAGAACUCUUUGGACACUCGUAUACAGGUGGUGCAUGGUUGUCGUCAGCUCGUGUCGUGAGAUGUUGGGUUAAGUCCCGCAACGAGCGCAACCCUCGUCGUAUGUUGCCAGCACGUAAUGGUGGGAACUCAUAUGAGACUGCCGGGGUCAACUCGGAGGAAGGUGGGGAUGAGGUCAAAUCAUCAUGCCCCUUAUGUCUUGGGCUUCACGCAUGCUACAAUGGCCGGUACAAAGGGCUGCAAUACCGGCAAGGUGGAGCGAAUCCCAAAAAGCCGGUCUCAGUUCGGA